This 218-nucleotide ribosomal RNA is filed under the name uncultured bacterium. RNAcentral describes it as "partial 16S ribosomal RNA". It matches the Rfam family "Bacterial small subunit ribosomal RNA", at positions 118 to 334 of the family's 1533-position model. The record is from RNAcentral.
UGGGUAACCUGCCUCAUAGAGUGGAAUAGCCUUCCGAAAGGAAGAUUAAUACCGCAUAAUGUUGAAAGAUGGCAUCAUCAUUUAACCAAAGGAGCAAUCCGCUAUGAGAUGGACCCGCGGCGCAUUAGCUAGUUGGUGGGGUAACGGCCUACCAAGGCGACGAUGCGUAGCCGACCUGAGAGGGUGAUCGGCCACAUUGGGACUGAGACACGGCCCAG